RNAcentral lists this unclassified non-coding RNA (252 nucleotides) under uncultured Candidatus Altimarinota bacterium. Its description in RNAcentral is "uncultured Candidatus Gracilibacteria bacterium contains 16S-23S intergenic spacer region". It matches the Rfam family "Bacterial small subunit ribosomal RNA", at positions 524 to 776 of the family's 1533-position model. Lineage: Bacteria; Candidatus Altimarinota. The record is from RNAcentral.
UACGGAUGGUGCAAGCGUUACUCGGAAUUACUGGGCGUAAAGCGUCCGCAGGCGUUUUCCCAAGUCUGACAUUAAAGUUCGGAGCUCAACUCCGUGAUGUGUCGGAAACUAGGAGAAUAGAGUCAUACAGAGGCAACUGGAAUUACGUGUGUAGGGGUAAAAUCCGUUGAUCCAAGUAGGAACGCCAAAAGUGAAGACAGGUUGCUGGGUAUGUACUGACGCUCAGGGACGAAAGCGUGGGGAGCGAACAGG